Molecule: ribosomal RNA, 396 nt
Filed under: uncultured bacterium
Lineage: Bacteria
Description: partial 16S ribosomal RNA
Rfam family: Bacterial small subunit ribosomal RNA
Source: RNAcentral
AUACGUAGGUGGCAAGCGUUGUCCGGAUUUACUGGGUGUAAAGGGCGCGUAGGCGGGAUUUUAAGUCAGAUGUGAAAUGUCGGGGCUCAACCCCGGAACUGCAUUUGAAACUGAAGUUCUUGAGUAUCGGAGAGGCAGGCGGAAUUCCUAGUGUAGCGGUGAAAUGCGGAGAUAUUAGGAGGAACACCAGUGGCGAAGGCGGCCUGCUGGACGACAACUGACGCUGAGGCGCGAAAGCGUGGGGAGCAAACAGGAUUAGGUACCCUGGUAGUCCACGCUGUAAACGAUGAAUACUAGGUGUGGGGGGACUGACCCCUUCCGUGCCGGAGUAAACACAAUAAGUAUUCCACCUGGGGAGUACGGCCGCAAGGUUGAAACUCAAAUGAAUUGGCGGGG